This 108-nucleotide small nuclear RNA is filed under the name Moschus moschiferus (Siberian musk deer). Lineage: Eukaryota; Metazoa; Chordata; Mammalia; Artiodactyla; Moschidae. The record is from RNAcentral.
GUGCUCACCUUGGGGAGCACAUGCACUAAAAUUGGGAUGAUCCAGAGAAGAUCAGCGUGGCCCCUGUGCAAGGAUGACACGCAAAUUCAUGCAGUGCUCUGGAUUUUU